GGGAAACAGACACUCAACCUAGGGUUCAGUGGAAAAGUUAAGUGCUCCUUUAUUUCUAGAAAAGGGCAGGGGAAGUGCGAGGGGUGAUAGAAGUGUAGCAGGUGCAGGCAGUGGAGGACCAGAGCCGACUUAGUGCUGGGUUGCCGGCAGGGGCUGACUGCGUCUGUUGUUGCUCUACUGCUGGAAGCGGGAGCGGAGGCAGUUGAGGAUUGAUUUCUCCAUCGUCCUCUUCUUUGUCCUCGGUAUCAGCAAGAUGACCUCUGUAAGGAUAGACGGCACAAAUCAGUAAGCAUGUGCUGCAAAAACCUAACAAACGUGUUUGUGGCGCCAUCUCUUUAUACUCCCCUGGUUGCUCGAGGAGGGUAGAUUGAGGUGCCGCUUAAGCCACUCCAACCAUGCGCAAUCAGCGGGCUCCGCCCUGUGGCCAUGCUGCUUUCAGCAGUCCAAAACAGUGGUGCUGAAAUGUUGCUGUCUUUUCAGCACUCUUGGAGCAGUGGAGUGAGGAGCAACGCGUUGCUUUGGCGGCGGUUUCCUUAGGGCGCUGUCACAAUACACAUUAUUGUCAAUGACUAGUUCUUGAGAAGCUCUACACCCCAAACAUCAGGGUUGUGUCCCACAUACUAGUGUUUACUCUUACAAUAUUCACUAUAUAGUCCAUCGGAGGAGACACGUUUUAAUCAAAGAGCUCCUUUAUCUUGAGGACUGAAUUUUUUUAUGGAUAAAAUUAUGAAUGAACGUAAAGUCACCUGUUUGUGUUUAAAGACAGUGGUCUAGACACUACUGAAAAACCCUGUGUUGGACUCUUCUACUCAAGAAAAAUCUCAGAGGCAUCAACUAUAUGCAGGCGAUUGGGACGCAGCCUGCAGCAACCGCCUCUGCCUCUUCAUGUGGUUUAUUCACAUUCCAUCAGCGUGAAUAUUCAUGUGACCAAAAUUGGAAAAAGUCACCACUGGACAGAUUUAAGUCGCACUUGGAAGACACUUUGGACACUUACAGUAAUGCAUUUAUGGCUGAGGACUACAGUUGAUGUGAUAACUUUAGGACUGCAGUUGUCAUGAACAGUUUUACACUCAAGUCUCCAUCAAUGAACAGUUGAUAACUUCAACAAAACAGACUUCCUGUUAAACUAUAAUGAAUUUCCUGGUUACACAGUUGUACUUUGUGACUCUAUAGGACACAGUUAUAGAAGUGAGUUAUUUAUAAUCACGCUAUCUGUUAUCACCCAGAUGAGGGUGGGUUCCCUUUAGAGUCUGGGUCCUCUCGAGGUUUCUUCCUCGUGUCGUCUGAGGGAGUUUUUUCUUGCCACUGUUGCCUCAGGUUUCAUCAUUGGGGAUAAAUUAGGGAUAAAAUUAGCUCAUGUUUAAAGUCUUUAAAUUUCUGUAAAGCUGCU
This is a long non-coding RNA of Neoarius graeffei (lesser salmon catfish), 1390 nucleotides long. RefSeq lists it as uncharacterized. NCBI's taxonomy places the organism in Eukaryota, Metazoa, Chordata, Actinopteri, Siluriformes, Ariidae. The record is from RefSeq and is a predicted model, not a curated record. The transcript is spliced from 3 exons.